CCUACCAAUUGCCUAUCUGUGGAACAAGUAAACAUGAUUCACAAAAGUAAAUACAGAACACAGUGUCUUUACGGGGAAAACACCCGGCUCAAGAAAGGUGUAAGAAACCACGACCUGUACCUCUACAGGAUUUAACCCCAACUUCACUAUAAUACUUGAGCCUCAACAAUCAACAGACUUACAAGACUUCUUGUAAACUAGGAAUUAAAACUUCUAACUCCUAUCACUACAAAAACACAAAUCUUCCUAAGAUAAGUGUUCCCCAACUUGAAGACACAACCCCUAACUCAGUUUAUAGAUCACUGAGACUAGAACAAUGACUCAUCACAACUCAAAGAACCUACCUACUACAAACAGUCUACGACUUGCUAAUUAAGAGGGCAGGUUCUUCUUCAAAUAUGUGAACUGAUAUGCUGAUAUGUUUUCUUUUUAGUGCUUGAGUAUUUUCUUUUGAAUUUGUUUCUUGUAUUUAAGCACAACCUCAUAGAGUCCUUCAAUUGAUGUAAUCUUCCCUGUUCAACUGAACUUUAUAUAGUUUCCCACUUCUUGUUGCUGCCUUUCUUUCUUCUUCUUUUGAAUGGAAUUCUUCUUUCCAGGAUUCCUCUUUUCUUUCUACAAGACCUCUUGUUCAACUCAACUUCUGCAAGUCUUCUUUUUCAACUCAACUUCUGAUGUGAUAAAUGCUAUCCACUUCUGCUUGUACACCAAGUCAUCUUAUCAAUAACUUGUCUGUAGCUGAUCUUGGUUCAGUUGGAUGGAACAACUUUUACAACAUGUUUAAUUCUCAUGCCAAUCAUCAAAACUCCACAUACCCUAACAGAUUUUCAUAAGGAAAGACAAGAGGUUGCAGACAAGUAGGGAUUGUCACCAAGAAGUUUUCAACAAAUAAAGGGCUUUGACUACAAUGCGGUUGUUAGUGCAAAGAGGCCUCUCACAAGGUCACAAAGCAGUCGAGGUAGAUGAAUCAUAGAACAUCAUAUAUAGAUAUUUUUUUCAUCUUAUAUCAUGGAAUUAAGCUACUAGGACACAUGUCAGGUAGCUUAACUCCACCUCUAUGUAAUGCUUUGCAUCUUAUCGGAGGUCUUGGCCUAGUCCCCCUCCUUGUACUAUUUAUUUUAUGAAAUAAAAACCUUGGGGGUGCUGCUUAACCCCUGGCCCACCAUGGGUCAUUACAAAAAAA
RNAcentral lists this long non-coding RNA (1180 nucleotides) under Capsicum annuum. Its description in RNAcentral is "long non-coding RNA (CANN_LNC010706)". Lineage: Eukaryota; Viridiplantae; Streptophyta; Magnoliopsida; Solanales; Solanaceae. The record is from RNAcentral.